UUUUUUUUCUUUUCAUCCUUCUUUCUUCUUCAAUCUCCUUCAUUCUCAUUCUCAUUCUCCUUCUUUUUAUUCAUCAUUUUUCUUCUUUGUUUAUCGUGAACCUCCAUUCGAUUUCAUUUUAAUUUUAUAAUCUUCCCAUUUCAAAAUAUGGAAUUCUAUUCUUACGAUAAUUGUUUCAGCUCAAUUUUUGGCUUUUGCUGGAAAUGUGAUCCAAGAGUGGGCAUGACCGGAAACUACCGACCAUUACGAUCCUCUUGGCUAUUUUUUCGUUCACCAAUCUGCUAACUUGGCUUCCGUGUAUUUUUUGAAUUAAUCGAUUUAAACGGGAGCCUGUCGAUUGAAUGUAUCGACCAAAACGAAGUCAAGGGUAAUUACAUAAUCGAUUGAACGAUCUCUAUUCACGGUCACAGUUACUAAUUCGUAGAAAGGUGCGGGCGCCUCCUUGGAGACAGAGGCGAGAGAGAAGGUGGUGGUGAAGAAGGUCAAAGCGAUUUUCCCUCUAACGGACGAGCUAGAGAGGAGUCGUGGCAGUGAGAGAGCCGCGGUCGCAUUUGUUUCACGGCAGCCAGCAGGAG
This is a long non-coding RNA of Apis florea (little honeybee), 575 nucleotides long. Lineage: Eukaryota; Metazoa; Arthropoda; Insecta; Hymenoptera; Apidae. The record is from RefSeq and is a predicted model, not a curated record.